This 626-nucleotide ribosomal RNA is filed under the name uncultured Enterobacteriaceae bacterium. Its description in RNAcentral is "bacterial SSU rRNA". It matches the Rfam family "Bacterial small subunit ribosomal RNA", at positions 1 to 631 of the family's 1533-position model. The record is from RNAcentral. Lineage: Bacteria; Pseudomonadati; Pseudomonadota; Gammaproteobacteria; Enterobacterales; Enterobacteriaceae.
UCGGCUUAGAGUUUGAUCCUGGCUCACGACGAACGCUGGCGGCGUGCCUAAUACAUGCAAGUCGAACGAAUUGGUGCUUGCAUCAUUGAGUGGCGAACUGGUGAGUAACACGUGGGAAACCUGCCCAGAAGCGGGGGAUAACACCUGGAAACAGAUGCUAAUACCGCAUAACAACUUACCGCACGGUCGAGCUGAAAGAUGUUCGUAUCACUUUUGGAUGGUCCCGCGGCGUAUUAGCUAGAUGGUGGGGUAAUGGCUCACCAUGGCAAUGAUACGUAGCCGACCUGAGAGGGUAAUCGGCCACAUUGGGACUGAGACACGGCCCAAACUCCUACGGGAGGCAGCAGUAGGGAAUCUUCCACAAUGGACGAAAGUCUGAUGGAGCAACGCCUCGUGAGUGAAGAAGGGUUUCGGCUCGUAAAACUCUGUUGUUAAAGAAGAACAUAUCUGAGGUAAUUCAGGUAUUGACGGUAUUUAACCAGAAAACCACGGCUAACUACGUGCCACCAGCCGCGGUAAUACGUACGUGGCAAGCGUUGUCCGGAUUUAUUGGGCGUAAAGCGAGCGCAGGCGGUUUUUUAAGUCUGAUGUGAAGCCUUCGGCUCAACCGAAGAAGUGCAUCGGAA